UGGGGAAUAUUGGACAAUGGGGGAAACCCUGAUCCAGCCAUGCCGCGUGAGUGACGAAGGUCUUCGGAUUGUAAAACUCUUUUAGCAGGGAAGAUAAUGACGGUACCUGCAGAAUAAGCCCCGGCUAACUUCGUGCCAGCAGCCGCGGUAAUACGAAGGGGGCUAGCGUUGUUCGGAAUUACUGGGCGUAAAGCGCGCGUAGGCGGACUCUCAAGUCAGGGGUGAAAUCCCGAGGCUCAACCUCGGAACUGCCUUUGAUACUGUGAGUCUUGAGCUCGGAAGAGGUGGGUGGAAUUCCUAGUGUAGAGGUGAAAUUCGUAGAUAUUAGGAAGAACACCAGUGGCGAAGGCGGCCCACUGGUCCGAUGCUGACGCUGAGGUGCGAAAGCGUGGGGAGCAAACAGGAUUAGAUACCCUAGUAGUCCCUGAGCGGGCUGGCAAGGCGCAU
Molecule: ribosomal RNA, 447 nt
Filed under: uncultured bacterium
Lineage: Bacteria
Description: bacterial SSU rRNA
Rfam family: Bacterial small subunit ribosomal RNA
Source: RNAcentral